This 567-nucleotide ribosomal RNA is filed under the name Weissella cibaria. Its description in RNAcentral is "bacterial SSU rRNA". It matches the Rfam family "Bacterial small subunit ribosomal RNA", at positions 89 to 641 of the family's 1533-position model. The record is from RNAcentral. Lineage: Bacteria; Bacillati; Bacillota; Bacilli; Lactobacillales; Lactobacillaceae.
CAAAGAGUGGCGAACGGGUGAGUAACACGUGGGAAACCUACCUCUUAGCAGGGGAUAACAUUUGGAAACAGAUGCUAAUACCGUAUAACAAUAGCAACCGCAUGGUUGCUACUUAAAAGAUGGUUCUGCUAUCACUAAGAGAUGGUCCCGCGGUGCAUUAGUUAGUUGGUGAGGUAAUGGCUCACCAAGACGAUGAUGCAUAGCCGAGUUGAGAGACUGAUCGGCCACAAUGGGACUGAGACACGGCCCAUACUCGGGGCGGGAGGCAGCAGUAGGGAAUCUUCCACAAUGGGCGAAAGCCUGAUGGAGCAACGCCGCGUGUGUGAUGAAGGGUUUCGGCUCGUAAAACACUGUUGUAAGAGAAGAAUGACAUUGAGAGUAACUGUUCAAUGUGUGACGGUAUCUUACCAGAAAGGAACGGCUAAAAUACGUGCCAGCAGCCGCGGUAAUACGUAUGUUCCAAGCGUUAUCCGGAUUUAUUGGGCGUAAAGCGAGCGCAGACGGUUAUUUAAGUCUGAAGUGAAAGCCCUCAGCUCAACUGAGGAAUUGCUUUGGAAACUGGAUGAC